UGGCGCCGCGGGUUCAGCUCUGUUGGCCCCUUCUCUUCUUUCUUUUUUUUUCUGUCAGUAACCCAUGUGUCUCCUGCUGCUUUUUCUGCUGUGUUUCUCUAUCUGGCAAAAUCCAAUGCCUCUCCUUUCGCCUAACUUCUCUCUCUCCUUCUUCUUGACGCUAUUGUUCUAUUUGCUCUAUUUCGGUCUCUGUCCUCCUCCUUUUUCUCCGUUGUAUUCUUUUUAUCUCUUCUCUUUUUUUUUUUACUUCCGGUGAAGUGUAUGAUUCACUGUGAGCUUACUCUGUGAGUUUAAACUGAUAUUUUUUUAUUUUUGUUCUUUGAUUCCCAUUUCGAACUGCGAAGCGGCCAUGCAUCCUCUGUCUCUCGCUUUCUUUGUGUUGCAGUGGUCCAGAUAAGCUGCCGUCUGUUCACGGCGCCUCCUUCUCCUCCAUUGUACCUUUUCUGCCUCUUCCUUUCCGGUUAGAUGACGGUUUUCUUCUCCUCGGCCGCCGCUCCUCAGAUCUCUCAAAACUGGUACUGCCAGCAAUAACCACCGUCGCCACUUCGCCUUCUACACCGGGAACUUUUUGGUGCUUUCGUUGUGCUACAUUCUCCUUCACUGUAUGAGAAAAGCUGUGAGGGAUGCUGCUCUAACAUUGCCCUACUGGAAUAAUUACAAGAAGAUGCAGAGUACAGAUCUGAGACUUGGGAGUAGGUUUCAUGAAAACGAACUUGUUGGAUUUAGUCAUUGCUUUAUGAAGGCUAAAGAAGUGAUGGGUUGAGGCUGUGAAAUGGUCAGGACAGGAGAAUUACUAAGCAGCUCCUACUGUUCCAUUUACAGUAGACGGUUUGGAGGCAAAAUUACAAAAAAAGUAUGGACCAUUGAUCUUUCUCAAAGUACACAAUGCUAACUACUUGGUUCCUAUGGAUCAGCCAAAAGCAGCAUUGGACAUGAUACAGAGGUGGCUACAAGGCAAACUCUGAAAGGUCCAGCACUCCAGUCUGAGCUCUCCAUUGAGACGCAUGUGAUGGAUUACUUGAAACACAAGCUGAAAUGCUUCAUCACAAUCUUUGUACUGAUCUAUUUAUUCAACUGCAACGUAUUGAUUUGCGAGUGGAAGUCAAGCAGAUAUAAAAAUAGAUGUAAAUGGAUGUUAAUUGUGGAGUUGAUUCGGUUCAAAGAAUUGGCUGCAGUGUGUCUUAAAAUGCCAUUCCUUCACAAAUGAACACAAAGACAGUAGCUAGCCCCGGCAAAAGCCGUUAUUGGUUGUCAUGCUAUUGUAUAUUGUAAUUCCAUUUUUUGCCUUGUAUCUAUACGAAUGGCACUUUAUCUUUGUGAUUUUGGAGGGUGUGAGGGCGUACUCCUCGUGUGUAAAUAGUUGACAAAAUUGGUACUCAUUCCAAGGCUAAUUUGUAUUUGUGCAUUCUUUG
Molecule: non-coding RNA, 1412 nt
Organism: Coffea arabica (coffee)
Lineage: Eukaryota; Viridiplantae; Streptophyta; Magnoliopsida; Gentianales; Rubiaceae
Source: RefSeq, a predicted model, not a curated record